CGGGAAUUGGUGUCGCGACCACAACUCCGGCGGAGAUUCGCCGCUGGGCUGCUCGGGAGAGGGGCCGUGGCCUGGGAAAGCAGGACGCCAGUGUGUUCGGGGACCGGGAGCCCGAGAGUGGGCUGCCUCUCGCCUGCUCGGGGCCAAGCUUCCGCGGAGUCUAGGGGGUUGGAGUUUCAGGAGUUCGUGAAGCGGUCUGCGGACUGCGGCGUCGAUCUUUGGUUUGAGCGCUGGUUCUGGCCUUAUUUGUAUUUGCCCGCAAGAACGGCUACUCUCAGUCUUCCCUGAGGUUGGUGGGUUUUGGACUUCAUCACUAGUUUUUCAAGACUUCCCUGUGUGUGAGCACUGGUCGUCCUGCUCAGGGCGCGGUACAGAGCGCCGUGUGGUAGAAGCUGAGGGUAGAAGGCCUUACUUAAGUGAAAUGUUGGAGGUUGAGGUGACGAAUCUGGCUUUGACAUCUUCCUGGAGGACUACGUUAUUUUUAUCCUAAAUCUGGUUCAGUUCCCUUACUGAUUUAUUAUUACAUUAAAAAUGUUUAUUUAAUCAA
Molecule: long non-coding RNA, 547 nt
Organism: Manis pentadactyla (Chinese pangolin)
Lineage: Eukaryota; Metazoa; Chordata; Mammalia; Pholidota; Manidae
Exons: 2
Source: RefSeq, a predicted model, not a curated record